GCUCAGUAACACGUGGACAAUCUGCCCUCGGGUGGGGAAUAAACCCGCGAAAGUGGGGCUAAUACCCCAUAGGCACAGGAGGCUGGAAUGCAUCUGUGCCCAAAGCUCCGGCGCCCGAGGAUGAGUCUGCGGCCUAUCAGGUAGUAGUCAGGGUCAAGACCCGACUAGCCAGCGACGGGUACGGGCCUUGAGAGAGGUCGCCCGGAGAUGGACUCUGAGACACGAGUCCAGGCCCUACGGGGCGCAGCAGGCGCGAAAACUUCGCAAUGCAGGAAACUGUGACGAGGGAACUCCAAGUGUCCAUGCAUUGCAUGGGCUGUUUGCCAGCCUAAAAAGCUGGUAGAGUAAGGGGUGGGAAAGACCGGUGCCAGCCGCCGCGGUAACACCGGCACCUCAAGUGGUAGCCACUAUUAUUGGGCCUAAAGCGUUCGUAGCCGGCUUGGUUAAUUCCUGGGUAAAUCGUACCGCUCAACGGUGCGGAUUCCGGGGACACUGCCAGGCUUGAGACCGGGGGAGAUCAGAGGUACUUGCGGGGGAGCGGUGAAAUGUUGUAAUCCCGCAGGGACCACCAAUGGCGAAGGCAUCUGAUCAAAACGGCUCUGACGGUGAGGGACGAAACCCUGGGGCGCAAACGGGAUUAGAUACCCCGGUAGUCCAGGGCGUAAACGCUGCUGACUUGGUGUUGGGGGCCCUGCGAGGGUGUCCAGUGCCGGCACGAAGGUAUUGAGUCAGCCGCCUGGGGAGUACGGUCGCAAGACUGAAACUUAAAGGAAUUGGCGGGGGAGCACUGCAACGGGUGGAGCGUGCGGUUUAAUUGGAUUCAACGCCGGAAAACUCACCGGGGGCGACGAUUACAUGAAGGCCAGGUUGAUGACCUUGCCUGAUUUUUCGAGAGGUGGUGCAUGGCCGCCGUCAGUCCGUACCGUAAGGCGUUCUGUUAAGUCAGAUAACGAACGAGACCCUCAUUGCCAUUUGCUAGGCUCUUCUCAGGAAGGGUUGCACUAUGGCGAUACCGCCACUGCUGAAGUGGAGGAAGGAGGGGGCAACGGUAGGUCAGUAUGCCCCGAAUCUCCCGGGCUACACGCGCGCUACAAAGGGCAGGACAAUGGGCUUCGACGCCGAAAGGCGGAGGCAAUCCCGAAACCUGCUCGUACUUCGGAUUGAGGGCUGCAAUUCGCCCUCAUGAAGCUGGAAUCCGUAGUAAUCGCGGGUCAACAUCCCGCGGUGAAUAUGCCCCUGCUCCUUGCACACACC
RNAcentral lists this ribosomal RNA (1254 nucleotides) under uncultured archaeon. Its description in RNAcentral is "bacterial SSU rRNA". It matches the Rfam family "Archaeal small subunit ribosomal RNA", at positions 88 to 1347 of the family's 1478-position model. The record is from RNAcentral.